Molecule: long non-coding RNA, 4071 nt
Organism: Bacillus rossius redtenbacheri
Lineage: Eukaryota; Metazoa; Arthropoda; Insecta; Phasmatodea; Bacillidae
Exons: 2
Source: RefSeq, a predicted model, not a curated record
UGGACAGGCCGUGACCUUGUUUUGAUCAGCUGUACGGUAACUUAGCGAUAAGAAAAUAGACUAUUGGUUAAAUAAAUUUAAAUUUAAGUGUGUUUUAGAAGAAGAGGAACUUUCAGUAUAUUCCUUAAGAUGAGCUGAGCAGCAGUCCAGUUUACAAGAUGACAAGAGUUCGAGAGACAAGAUACAAGAUCACUGAAACAAGAGCCAAGACUGAAGAUUCAAGAGAAGAGAAAGCUGGCAGCCAUGGACUUACAAGUGGAGAUUAAUAAGGUCAUGUAAAGUUUUAUUUUUUUUUAUGGAAGACAGUAACUGGAGUUUUUUUUUUGUUAUAAACAUUAUUUACAGAACUUUUUAGGUUAUAGUAAUGUAAUGGAACUAGUGAGUUGUGGUAGCUGUCAAAAAGAACUAAUACCUUAAGUUUAAUUUUUAAAGUUAAUUUUCUUAAUUUACAGAGGGAUUAGUAGUUUUUUUUAAACCUUAUUUAGGUUGGAAUUUAAAUACAAUAGCUUAUUAUAAAUGUGUACGAACAGUUCAAGUUCACAGUACUGAUAGGUAGGUCAGAUGAUCUUAUUGAUUUUGAUGAUUUGUUGUUUUGAGUUGAUUUUUAAGUGUUGUGAAUUAGACAAUGAAAUAGUUCUGAAAACUUAAAUUAUUUCAAGCUAAGAAAUAGUAAAUUUAAUUGUAACUCGAAGGACACCAGAAUGUAAAUUUGUUUUGAAUUAGUAAUGUUUGAAAAUUUUAUACUUUACAAGAAAGGUUAUAAACAAACAGAUCGGAUGGAACAAGGAUGCAGUAAAUCACAAUUUCAUUUAGAAUUAUUGAUUAGCUUUUGAGGUUAUGAAGUAAAAGUAAUUAUAGUUUAAAAGUUUGAAUAAAAAAAAAUGUUUUUUUUUAUUUGUUUGAAAUAGAAAGUUUAAAAGUUAAUUAGUCAUGAUCUAGGUGGGUGAUGGGGUGGGAAUUGGCCACUCUUUUUCCCUAUAACCUCCCUAACAUGGCCUUCUAUUACAACUAACAGAAAUAAAGAAGAAGAAAAAUGAAGAAUUAUUAGUUAGAAUGUUUCUUUCAUGAAGAUACCUGAUGAACUUUUUUUUUAUUGUUGGGAAGAAUAGUAGCAAGAUUAAUCAGAUGUUUUACUCAGAAGAAGAAGAAGAAGAAGAAGAAGAAGACAAAGCAGUUUUAUGACUCGACAAGCCAGAGAUUGGUGUUUCCCCUCUGCGCUCCUAUUGACUACGUUGUUUACUCUCAUGGGAUAGCUGGUUCGGCACCAUGGAGAGAGAUUGGUGGGCAUUGUGGUUGCCCCCAGAAGAAAAGAAGAGUAGAAGAGGUUAUGGGUGGGUCAUGUGAAGUGACCUUCAACCCAGUUACUUCGUGGGGACUAUUUGCUGUAUAGAGAAGAUCAAGACUCAAGAGUUAGGGAAAAUCAUUGGAGGUCAUGUUUCCCUUCCUUAAGUUUUUCCUAUCAAAUUAUUUGCCUGAUUAGAUUAUGCUAAGGGUGGGAUACUUUAUGUUAGCAGUUGAAUUAAUUAAUUUUAUUUUUUUGUGUGUUUGCAUCCUUGCCCAUCGAUUGCAGUUUAGUAGUUAGUUUUGUAUUUGUCAGGCGUGAUGGUAAUGCCUGUUGAUGAUGUUUCAGAAUUGUAAUCUGUUCGUGAUGAGGAUGGCACAACUCCGAAGCAGAUGUGGGGAGAAGUUGUGAGCUGCCCUGGAAGCCAGUCCAGUAGCUGUUGGAGUUGAGUGGUGUUUGCUGAUGGCCAGCCCAGGGAGCUACUCUUCUCGACAACACUGACUUCGAGGAGUUGCACCAACCUUCACGAGAUAAGAGUUUAAUUAAUUGAAACACUGUAAGGACACUUAAUUUUUUUUGAAGAACGAAAGAAGUAUGGUAAUAAACGGAAACUGAAAAAAAAAAUAAUAAUAAUUAUCAAGAAUUUGCACAUUGUUUAACGAAUACUGAGAAACUAAGAACAGUAAUUUAAUUUGUAAAGAGAGCUUCACUAACAGAACAAUUUUUUUAGAAUUGAGAACUCGAGCCUCUGAAGGUUCCUGUGAGAACAAACCAGAUAAAAGUUUUACAUUUAAUUUUAUGAAUACUUGUUGUUUUAAAAUAAAUCUUAUGCAGAAUCUAGAUGUAUGUUCAGACAGCAAGGAACUAAGAAAAUUAUUAUUUUUGUGAAAUGAGGAAUUUAUAGUUAUGGUUUAAUGGAAAAAGACAAUUUGUAAUUUUGAGGUAGCUCGAUGGGGCUCGAGCUCUGUGAGGGGAGGGUUAUGUCGCGGGUUGAAAUUUUGCAGGGUUGUUGAAAUCAAAUUUAGGGACUUUACUGACGGGACUCUGGGCUGGCUGCUCUGUUCACUCGUCAGCGCAAGUGGCGUGACCAUGUAAUUGGGGCACGGGGCCGGCGCGGCGCGCUGCGGGCUUGCAGAAUUUUGUUUGUUUGUUUGGCCGCACGCUGGCGCAGCUACGGGCCGCAGUUACUGGGGCGCGCUGUCGUAACAAGCCACGCGGUGUGGCCUGCACAUCGGGGUAGAGGGGGGGUAGUCUUCCCAGAUGUUCUAGUUAGUUGUUUAGUAAAUUUGACUUCAAUAACGAGCUUUUGUUAUGCUAGGCGCGGCAGGGCGCGCGAAUUUAAGCGCAAGUGAUUGGUGACUUCAGGCUCACUCAGGCGGAGGCUCACUCAAGCUCACUCAGGCGGAGGCUAUGCGUCUCACCUGUGGUCACGAGUUGUUAGUUCGUUCGUGAUGUAGGAAUUCAAGCUUUCGGGCGGAAGCUAUGGUCGACGCCAGAGGCCACGAGUCGUUUAAUUUAAGUUAGGUCAUAAUGUAGUCGUCAAGCUUUCGGGCGGAGGCUAUGGCCCUCGUCAGGGGUCACGCGUCAUAGUUUUUAAAAUGUAAUGUUCGUUCGGGAUUUCAAGGGCAGGAGAGGCCCCUACGUUAUUUUUUUAAAGUAAUCGAUCAAGAAAGGCUUUUCGGAAAAUGUGAGUAUGGACUUAUCUUUGUUUUAAUUUUAAGUAUUAAUUAUGAUUUGAGGUAUUCGGAAGGACUAGGGAAGUGUUUAGUGAAGUUCUCUCAUUCUCUCUCUUGUAAGGUCGUUCAAUCGUUAAGGAAGUAAAGAGAUUAUUGUUUUAAAUUGUAAUCCCGCUAUUUAAAUGUUCUUUAAAAUGAUGUUGAGUAUUUGACUUUAAGAAUAAAAUAAUUUUAAUUAAGUAUUAUGUUAUUUUGCAAAAUCUCCUUAGUUCAGCUCUCACCAGACAUCCUGUACGGGAUGACGAACCUAUGAUCCUAGGUACAGUAAAGUAUUUUAUGAAGUUAAGACUAGUUGAUGCCAAGCGAGUUGUUUCUAUGUAAAGAGCUACGAUUCUCGCCCCCCCCUCUGAAGGUGGAUCGUGACAAUAUAGUGGAAUCAUGUUCAUCUAAAAAAAAAUGUUGUUGCAAAACUUCUACAAAAGAUAACAUGCAUGCAAAACAUUGUAUAGUUGUUAGACAUCACUGUUGUUUUGCUGGGCUGCUAUGUGAAUCGUUUAAGGAUCUGAAUGCUGAUUUUUUCUUUUGACGACACAAUGUUGACAAUUCUGCUCAUGUAGCCUGUAGAGUUACAUUGAAAUGUUAAUUCAUUCUAAGCCGAUAUGUAAUAGCAUUUAUAUUCUACGUAAACAAGCUUAUUCUAAAAAAAAAAGCCAGAAUAAUUACACACUCAAUGCAUAUCCACGCACGUGGAGUUGUCUGAAUUCCGAAAUCACUGUAGGCUACGUAUCACUUGGAUGCUAACUUGGUGUUGUUAUACUGAGAUGUGAUGUUACACUUAAUCUUCAAUUAUUUUAUUAACUUUGGUUUCGUAAAUUUUAGUUUAUUGUAAUUGUAUUAUAUAAAUGCAUACACUUAAUCAACUGUUUUUUAUUUUAUUUUAAAAAUUGUAAACAUUUAUCAUAGCAAUUCCAAAGUGCAUUAUUUGUAAUUUUUCAGUAUUACUGCUCUGUGAAAACCUCCACAUGAUUUUAUCACUGUGUUCAACUUUCAUACCAAAUGCACAUAAAAUAGUGUGUUUCUUGCUGUACAAGCACUUGGCCAAUUUUGAAAAUA